UUAACGACUCUCGGCAACGGAUAUCUCGGCUCUCGCAUCGAUGAAGAACGUAGCGAAAUGCGAUACUUGGUGUGAAUUGCAGAAUCCCGUGAACCAUCGAGUCUUUGAACGCAAGUUGCGCCCGAAGCCUUCUGGCCGAGGGCACGCCUGCCUGGGCGUCACGCA
RNAcentral lists this ribosomal RNA (165 nucleotides) under Veronica linifolia. RNAcentral's name for it is "5.8S ribosomal RNA". It matches the Rfam family "5.8S ribosomal RNA". From Rfam's summary of the family: 5.8S ribosomal RNA (5.8S rRNA) is a component of the large subunit of the eukaryotic ribosome. It is transcribed by RNA polymerase I as part of the 45S precursor that also contains 18S and 28S rRNA. The record is from RNAcentral. Lineage: Eukaryota; Viridiplantae; Streptophyta; Magnoliopsida; Lamiales; Plantaginaceae.